This 475-nucleotide ribosomal RNA is filed under the name uncultured bacterium. RNAcentral's name for it is "partial 16S ribosomal RNA". It matches the Rfam family "Bacterial small subunit ribosomal RNA", at positions 28 to 507 of the family's 1533-position model. The record is from RNAcentral.
GAUGAACGCUGGCGGCGUGCUUAACACAUGCAAGUCGAACGAUGAACCUCACUUGUGGGGGGACUAGUGGCGAACGGGUGAGUAACACGUGAGUAACCUGCCCUUGACUCUGGGAUAAGCCUGGGAAACCGGGUCUAAUACUGGAUACGACCUUCUGGCGCAUGCCAUGUUGGUGGAAAGCUUUUGUGGUUUUGGAUGGACUCGCGGCCUAUCAGCUUGUUGGUGGGGUAAUGGCCUACCAAGGCGACGACGGGUAGCCGGCCUGAGAGGGUGACCGGCCACACUGGGACUGAGACACGGCCCAGACUCCUACGGGAGGCAGCAGUGGGGAAUAUUGCACAAUGGGCGCAAGCCUGAUGCAGCGACGCCGCGUGAGGGAUGGAGGCCUUCGGGUUGUAAACCUCUUUCAGUAGGGAAGAAGCCGGCUUUUGGGUUGGUGACGGUACCUGCAGAAGAAGCGCCGGCUAACUACGUG